This is a long non-coding RNA of Magnolia sinica, 1000 nucleotides long. RefSeq lists it as uncharacterized. The record is from RefSeq and is a predicted model, not a curated record. The transcript has 2 exons. Lineage: Eukaryota; Viridiplantae; Streptophyta; Magnoliopsida; Magnoliales; Magnoliaceae.
AUCUCCCCCCAUUUCUCUCACUCUCUCUCACCCCUUCUAUCGAAUCCCUACUCUCCUAAACCUUUCUCCCAACACUCGAUGCUCUCAAACACUCAUCUCCCAAAACCCUUCUCUCCUCCCUACAAAAACUUAUAACCACAACAUUUUGCUGAAUCUCAUAGAAUGGAACGAUCUAGCAUUAGGUUUUGGUGUUAUUUUUGGAAGAUUUCGCUGAAUCUCUGCAACUAAUGAACAACUGUAAAAAAAUCCAUAUAGGAAGAAGGGGAUCUUAUUUGUUGCAAUCAACCACAACAUGCCUCUUUCAGAUCAAGGUCCUUUCGACAUUGUUUUACAUAAGGUACAGAUUGUUCAUCAGUUCAGAUAUUCAGAAAGGAUUUUUAUCAAGAGAUUCGACUGAGGAACUGUAAGGUAAUGUACAAUAGAAUCAAUCCCGCAUUUUUCAUCUUUCAAUUGAAAACUGUUUGAAUUUAGAUCAAUCUCCGACCAGUUAAUAGUGAGCAAGAUAGGAAAAAAAAAAGAAGUACAGGCUGGUCGCUUGGUCCAAUGAUCAAGUGGGCUACACAUGAUGAAAAUGGUCUUAAUAGUCCAAACCUUCCAAAGGAGAUGGAUCCUUCCAAUACAGGGGCUGGAUCCACCUGUUGACUGUGGUGAUGAAGGGAGUUGUCAGUAGAGUGAGAGAAGCAGUUUUGUUGCAUAAGACAAGCUGAUUCUGCCAUUGCCUUUGCCUUUGCCUUUGUCUUUGUCUUUGCAGCAGCAACAAGAAUGAACAGGGAAGCCCUCUAGAAUCUUGCCUCUCCUUUGAGAAAAAAUUGUGACCAUCAAUUUGUAGCACUCCUGGAUUGCAAAAUUCCAUGUAUAACAGGGGAUUUUUAUUUUUAUUUUUUUAAUGCAUUAGCUGUAUGAAUAGGGGACUUGAUUUGGUUUCCAUAAGCAUUUUUCAUAUCGUUUUUACUACAAGCUUUUAGUUUUGAGUGGUGAAAUAAUACUGGAGUUGUAUUGA